UGGGGAAUUUUGGACAAUGGGGGAAACCCUGAUCCAGCCAUCCCGCGUGUGCGAUGAAGGCCUUCGGGUUGUAAAGCACUUUUGGCAGGAAAGAGACGUCAUGGGUUAAUACCCCGUGAAACUGACGGUACCUGCAGAAUAAGCACCGGCUAACUACGUGCCAGCAGCCGCGGUAAUACGUAGGGUGCAAGCGUUAAUAGGAAUUACUGGGCGUAAAGCGUGCGCAGGCGGUUCGGAAAGAAAGAUGUGAAAUCCCAGAGCUCAACUUUGGAACUGCAUUUUUAACUACCGGGGUUGAGUGUGUCAGAGGGAGGUGGAAUUCCGCGUGUGGCAGUGGAAUGCGUAGAUAUGCAGAGGAACACCGGUGGCGGAGGCAGCCUCCUGGGAUAACACUGACACUCAUGCACGAAAGCGUGGGGAGCAAACAGG
This 429-nucleotide ribosomal RNA is filed under the name Acidobacteriota bacterium. RNAcentral's name for it is "Acidobacteria bacterium partial 16S ribosomal RNA". It matches the Rfam family "Bacterial small subunit ribosomal RNA", at positions 355 to 776 of the family's 1533-position model. Lineage: Bacteria; Pseudomonadati; Acidobacteriota. The record is from RNAcentral.